UGUGAGCUCGAUGAGUAGGGCGGGACACGUGGUAUCCUGUCUGAAUAUGGGGGGACCAUCCUCCAAGGCUAAAUACUCCUGACUGACCGAUAGUGAACCAGUACCGUGAGGGAAAGGCGAAAAGAACCCCGGCGAGGGGAGUGAAAAAGAACCUGAAACCGUGUACGUACAAGCAGUGGGAGCACGCUUCGGCGUGUGACUGCGUACCUUUUGUAUAAUGGGUCAGCGACUUAUAUUCUGUAGCAAGGUUAACCGAAUAGGGGAGCCGAAGGGAAACCGAGUCUUAACUGGGCGUUAAGUUGCAGGGUAUAGACCCGAAACCCGGUGAUCUAGCCAUGGGCAGGUUGAAGGUUGGGUAACACUAACUGGAGGACCGAACCGACUAAUGUUGAAAAAUUAGCGGAUGACUUGUGGCUGGGGGUGAAAGGCCAAUCAAACCGGGAGAUAGCUGGUUCUCCCCGAAAGCUAUUUAGGUAGCGCCUCGUGAAUUCAUCUCCGGGGGUAGAGCACUGUUUCGGCAAGGGGGUCAUCCCGACUUACCAACCCGAUGCAAACUGCGAAUACCGGAGAAUGUUAUCACGGGAGACACACGGCGGGUGCUAACGUCCGUCGUGAAGAGGGAAACAACCCAGACCGCCAGCUAAGGUCCCAAAGUCAUGGUUAAGUGGGAAACGAUGUGGGAAGGCCCAGACAGCCAGGAUGUUGGCUUAGAAGCAGCCAUCAUUUAAAGAAAGCGUAAUAGCUCACUGGUCGAGUCGGCCUGCGCGGAAGAUGUAACGGGGCUAAACCAUGCACCGAAGCUGCGGCAGCGACGCUGAUGCGUUGUUGGGUAGGGGAGCGUUCUGUAAGCCUGCGAAGGUGUGCUGUGAGGCAUGCUGGAGGUAUCAGAAGUGCGAAUGCUGACAUAAGUAACGAUAAAGCGGGUGAAAAGCCCGCUCGCCGGAAGACCAAGGGUUCCUGUCCAACGUUAAUCGGGGCAGGGUGAGUCGACCCCUAAGGCGAGGCCGAAAGGCGUAGUCGAUGGGAAACAGGUUAAUAUUCCUGUACUUGGUGUUACUGCGAAGGGGGGACGGAGAAGGCUAUGUUGGCCGGGCGACGGUUGUCCCGGUUUAAGCGUGUAGGCUGGUUUUCCAGGCAAAUCCGGAAAAUCAAGGCUGAGGCGUGAUGACGAGGCACUACGGUGCUGAAGCAACAAAUGCCCUGCUUCCAGGAAAAGCCUCUAAGCAUCAGGUAACAUCAAAUCGUACCCCAAACCGACACAGGUGGUCAGGUAGAGAAUACCAAGGCGCUUGAGAGAACUCGGGUGAAGGAACUAGGCAAAAUGGUGCCGUAACUUCGGGAGAAGGCACGCUGAUAUGUAGGUGAGGUCCCUCGCGGAUGGAGCUGAAAUCAGUCGAAGAUACCAGCUGGCUGCAACUGUUUAUUAAAAACACAGCACUGUGCAAACACGAAAGUGGACGUAUACGGUGUGACGCCUGCCCGGUGCCGGAAGGUUAAUUGAUGGGGUCAGCGCAAGCGAAGCUCUUGAUCGAAGCCCCGGUAAACGGCGGCCGUAACUAUAACGGUCCUAAGGUAGCGAAAUUCCUUGUCGGGUAAGUUCCGACCUGCACGAAUGGCGUAAUGAUGGCCAGGCUGUCUCCACCCGAGACUCAGUGAAAUUGAACUCGCUGUGAAGAUGCAGUGUACCCGCGGCAAGACGGAAAGACCCCGUGAACCUUUACUAUAGCUUGACACUGAACAUUGAGCCUUGAUGUGUAGGAUAGGUGGGAGGCUUGGAAGUGUGGACGCCAGUCUGCAUGGAGCCGACCUUGAAAUACCACCCUUUAAUGUUUGAUGUUCUAACGUUGACCCGUAAUCCGGGUUGCGGACAGUGUCUGGUGGGUAGUUUGACUGGGGCGGUCUCCUCCUAAAGAGUAACGGAGGAGCACGAAGGUUGGCUAAUCCUGGUCGGACAUCAGGAGGUUAGUGCAAUGGCAUAAGCCAGCUUGACUGCGAGCGUGACGGCGCGAGCAGGUGCGAAAGCAGGUCAUAGUGAUCCGGUGGUUCUGAAUGGAAGGGCCAUCGCUCAACGGAUAAAAGGUACUCCGGGGAUAACAGGCUGAUACCGCCCAAGAGUUCAUAUCGACGGCGGUGUUUGGCACCUCGAUGUCGGCUCAUCACAUCCUGGGGCUGAAGUAGGUCCCAAGGGUAUGGCUGUUCGCCAUUUAAAGUGGUACGCGAGCUGGGUUUAGAACGUCGUGAGACAGUUCGGUCCCUAUCUGCCGUGGGCGCUGGAGAACUGAGGGGGGCUGCUCCUAGUACGAGAGGACCGGAGUGGACGCAUCACUGGUGUUCGGGUUGUCAUGCCAAUGGCACUGCCCGGUAGCUAAAUGCGGAAGAGAUAAGUGCUGAAAGCAUCUAAGCACGAAACUUGCCCCGAGAUGAGUUCUCCCUGACCCUUUAAGGGUCCUGAAGGAACGUUGAAGACGACGACGUUGAUAGGCCGGGUGUGUAAGCGCAGCGAUGCGUUGAGCUAACCGGUACUAAUGAACCGUGAGGCUUAACCUU
Molecule: ribosomal RNA, 2547 nt
Filed under: Escherichia coli
Lineage: Bacteria; Pseudomonadati; Pseudomonadota; Gammaproteobacteria; Enterobacterales; Enterobacteriaceae
Description: partial 23S ribosomal RNA
Rfam family: Bacterial large subunit ribosomal RNA
Source: RNAcentral